AAGCAUAUCAAUAAGCGGAGGAAAAGAAACCAACAGGGAUUGCCCUAGUAACGGCGAGUGAAGCGGCAACAGCUCAAAUUUGAAAUCUGGCGCAAGCCCGAGUUGUAAUUUGUAGAGGAUGCUUCUGGGUAGCGACCGGUCUAAGUUCCUUGGAACAGGACGUCAUAGAGGGUGAGAAUCCCGUAUGUGACCGGCCCGCACCCUUUACGUAGCUCCUUCGACGAGUCGAGUUGUUUGGGAAUGCAGCUCUAAAUGGGAGGUAAAUUUCUUCUAAAGCUAAAUACCGGCCAGAGACCGAUAGCGCACAAGUAGAGUGAUCGAAAGAUGAAAAGUACUUUGGAAAGAGAGUUAAAAAGCACGUGAAAUUGUUGAAAGGGAAGCGCCUGCAAUCAGACUUCGCGGCAGUGUUCCGCCGGUCUUCUGACCGGUUUAUUCUCUGUCGCGAGGCCAUCAUCGUCUCGGCCCGCUGGAUAAGACCUUGGGAAUGUAGCUCACCUUCGGGGGAGUGUUAUAGCUCAUGGUGAUGCAGCGAGGCUGGGGCGAGGUCCGCGCUUCGGCAAGGAUGAUGGCGUAAUGGUUGUCGGCGGCCCGUCUUGAAACACGGACCAAGGAGUCUAACAUCUAUGCGAGUGUUCGGGUGUCAAACCCCUACGCGUAAUGAAAGUGAACGGAGGUGGGAACCGCAAGGUGCACCAUCGACCGAUCCUGAUGUCCUCGGAUGGAUUUGAGUAAGAGCAUAGCUGUUGGGACCCGAAAGAUGGUGAACUAUGCCUGAAUAGGGUGAAGCCAGAGGAAACUCUGGUGGAGGCUCGCAGCGGUUCUGACGUGCAAAUCGAUCGUCAAAUUUGGGUAUAGGGGCGAAAGACUAAUCGAACCAUCUAGUAGCUGGUUCCUG
RNAcentral lists this ribosomal RNA (895 nucleotides) under Sphaerulina azaleae. RNAcentral describes it as "partial large subunit ribosomal RNA". It matches the Rfam family "Eukaryotic large subunit ribosomal RNA", at positions 36 to 960 of the family's 3401-position model. The record is from RNAcentral. Lineage: Eukaryota; Fungi; Ascomycota; Dothideomycetes; Mycosphaerellales; Mycosphaerellaceae.